RNAcentral lists this transfer RNA (67 nucleotides) under Agrypnus binodulus. Its description in RNAcentral is "tRNA-Ser". Lineage: Eukaryota; Metazoa; Arthropoda; Insecta; Coleoptera; Elateridae. The record is from RNAcentral.
GAAGUAUAAGAUUUAAGGAAAAGCUUCUAACUUUUACCUUUAGCGGCGAAUCUCCGUUAAUAUUUCU